RNAcentral lists this ribosomal RNA (253 nucleotides) under uncultured bacterium. RNAcentral's name for it is "partial 16S ribosomal RNA". It matches the Rfam family "Bacterial small subunit ribosomal RNA", at positions 524 to 776 of the family's 1533-position model. The record is from RNAcentral. RNAcentral also lists the same sequence under 1 other name.
AACGUAGGUGGCGAGCGUUAUCCGGAUUUACUGGGCGUAAAGGGUGUGCAGGCGGGCUGUUAAGUGGUGUAUGAAAUCGCCGGGCUCAACCGGGCGAGGUUAUGCCAGACUGGCAGUCUAGAGAGCGAGAGAGGGACGUGGAAUUCCGGGUGUAGUGGUGAAAUGCGUAGAGAUCCGGAGGAACCCCAGAGGCGAAGGCGGCGUCCUGGCUCGCAUCUGACGCUCAGACACGACAGCAUGGGGAGCGAACGGG